Molecule: transfer RNA, 110 nt
Filed under: Candidatus Bathyarchaeota archaeon
Lineage: Archaea; Thermoproteati; Candidatus Bathyarchaeota
Also listed under: 2 other names
Description: tRNA-Leu
Rfam family: tRNA (bases 40-102)
About the family: Transfer RNA (tRNA) molecules are approximately 80 nucleotides in length.
Source: RNAcentral
GCGGGGGUUCCCAAGCCAGGUCUAAAUCGGGUGUUAAACCCCUAGGAUAAGGGGGAGGACUUAAGAUCCUCUGGCGAAGGCCUUCGCGGGUUCGAAUCCCGCCCCCCGCA